UUAGCUAGUAUAUCAGCUAAAAUGAUAAUUUCAGUCGUCGGGUCCGCCAGGAACGCGUAGGGCCGUUCCUCUUCAUCCGCGACCGAGUUUCGCCCCGGGAGGCCACGCGACCCGCGUCGAACCGUCCGUCGACAAGUUCCUGGAUAUCCUCGAAGCUCGAGAACCGGGUCGUCGACACGGAGACUCCACCGAAAGGAAUUUCCUUCGCGUCGCACGAUGGAGCAGCCGAGCUCACCGACGGCCGAGCGUCCCGACGGCCCUCUAGACGCUCUAUCCCUCUAGACGCUCGAUCAUCCAGCGCGAACGGAUUUUUGAGCGCUCGACCUCUUCAACAGGGAUUCUCCGUCUCGAGGUGGAAUACGUGCGCGAGAAUCGUCGAGUCGCGGCGAACGGAAGACGUUCACGUCGGACGCGGAUACUUGGCCAGAUUCGCCGGCUAGGUCAAGGAGAGAGAAAAAGAGAUAGAGAGCGACGCCGAAAUAGAACGAGAGUAACCGUCGAUCACCGAGGAACGCGACCAAAGACGCGAACUGGGGCAAAAUGUGCGACGGGGACGACGGGCGAAUUUCCACACAGGCUCCUGUUUUCUAAGUACGGGAGCUUGGCCUCCUCGGUCGGAGCUUUCGCGACCCUUCGACAGCGACGAGCAGAGAUGGGCAAAACAGUCUCGUCUAGAUGGAAGUAUCGAAUCAGACUCGGGAUUCCCGAGCGAGAGGGGUUCCCUGUCUAAGAGACGCGCGGAAGAGGCAGCAUCGAGGAAAGGAAGAGAACCAACGAUCUCGUCGUCGACGUCUAGAGGCACCUCCGAGACAACUCUGCGCCUCUUAGACAGGAUCCGGCGACUUUUACUGUUCUAUAUAAUCAUCAAAAUGCAAGAGUGAUUUCUAAUUUGCCUCUUCACCUGUUAAUUACGAUGCUAUAUAUGUACAUACGUUACACAUGCUAAUGAACACGCUGACCGUCGGUAGUUCUAGUAAUAACUCUUCUACUCGUUACUCUUUUGAAUUACAGAACGAAGCGCGUUACUGUAAGCAAUUGAAAAUGUAAAUUUCAAUGUAAAUGUAACCCUCUGCGAUCCUACGGUCGAGCCUCGCUAACAGUAACGAACGUAAAUCGACGAAUCUGGCCCGCAAAGGGUUGCACAGAUAUCACGAAAUAAAAAUAAAACAA
Long non-coding RNA from Hylaeus anthracinus, 1170 nucleotides. RefSeq lists it as uncharacterized. Lineage: Eukaryota; Metazoa; Arthropoda; Insecta; Hymenoptera; Colletidae. The transcript has 3 exons. The record is from RefSeq and is a predicted model, not a curated record.